UCUGUAACUGACGCUGAAGGCUCGAAAGCGUGGGGAGCAAAACAGGAUUAGAUACCCUGGUAGUCCACGCCGUAAACGAUGAGUGCUAAGUGUUGGAGGGUUUCCGCCCUUCAGUGCUGCAGCUAACGCAUUAAGCACUCCGCCUGGGGAGUACGACCGCAAGGUUGAAACUCAAAGGAAUUGACGGGGGCCCGCACAAGCGGUGGAGCAUGUGGUUUAAUUCGAAGCAACGCGAAGAACCUUACCAGGUCUUGACAUCCUUUGACCACUCUAGAGAUAGAGCUUCCCCUUCGGGGGCAAAGUGACAGGUGGUGCAUGGUUGUCGUCAGCUCGUGUCGUGAGAUGUUGGGUUAAGUCCCGCAACGAGCGCAACCCUUAUUGUUAGUUGCCAUCAUUCAGUUGGGCACUCUAGCAAGACUGCCGGUGACAAACCGGAGGAAGGUGGGGAUGACGUCAAAUCAUCAUGCCCCUUAUGACCUGGGCUACACACGUGCUACAAUGGGAAGUACAACGAGUUGCGAAGUCGCGAGGCUAAGCUAAUCUCUUAAAGCUUCUCUCAGUUCGGAUUGCAGGCUGCAACUCGCCUGCAUGAAGCCGGAAUCGCUAGUAAUUCGCGGAUCAGCACGCCGCGGUGAAUACGUUCCCGGGCCUUGUACACACCGCC
This 664-nucleotide ribosomal RNA is filed under the name Enterococcus faecium. Its description in RNAcentral is "bacterial SSU rRNA". It matches the Rfam family "Bacterial small subunit ribosomal RNA", at positions 733 to 1394 of the family's 1533-position model. The record is from RNAcentral. Lineage: Bacteria; Bacillati; Bacillota; Bacilli; Lactobacillales; Enterococcaceae.